GGCAGAGGCAGGGCAGCUUCCCCGGCCCCUCCGCCGCGCAGGUGACCCAGCGCCAGGUGAGCCCCGCGGGGGCACCUGUGGAGCCCGUCCCGCCUCUGCCGGCGGCUCCUCGGGCGCCGGGACCGCGGGGGAUGCUCGGGGGAUGCUCGGGGGAUGCUCGGGGGAUGCUCGGGGGAUGCUCGGGGGACGGGUCCGGCCUCCCCCGGCCCUGGCUGUGGAGCCGAGAGGGUUCCUGGCCGUAUCCCGGAGGGAUCCUGGCAGGAUGCCGCCAUCAGCACCACGGACAGCGCCCGGCGGCGCCUCCGGGGCAGGGCUGGACCGGGACGCGACCCGGGCAUCCCUGACCGGGCACCGGGCACCGGGCACCGGCACCCGCCCGGACCCUCCCCGGAGAUCAACGGCGGGUCCCCGAGGCGACGCUGGACUGUUCCCGGGCCAGGGAGAUGUCAUAAGUGGAUCCAACCCUAUCCCUGACAGAGGUCUCUGAAGAACAGGGAAUUCAGGGUGCCAAGAAAACCCCGGGGCAGACGGGAGCGCGAGCGGCGCCGGAGGGACACGAGGAGCAGGGACAGGGCUGCAGGCAAGCUGUGCUGAAGCCAGGAAUGGACUGACAGAGGAAUCCCCAGGGCCCCAGCAGGAUGCAUUAACAGUGUGUCUCUCUGGUGAGCUGUGAUGGGAAGAGCACGGAGCAAAAA
Chiroxiphia lanceolata (lance-tailed manakin) is the source of this 695-nucleotide RNA transcript. It is a transcript of the gene named translation initiation factor IF-2-like, with no coding region annotated. The record is from RefSeq and is a predicted model, not a curated record. The transcript has 4 exons. Lineage: Eukaryota; Metazoa; Chordata; Aves; Passeriformes; Pipridae.